Ruditapes philippinarum (Manila clam) is the source of this 4790-nucleotide long non-coding RNA. RefSeq lists it as uncharacterized. The transcript has 2 exons. NCBI's taxonomy places the organism in Eukaryota, Metazoa, Mollusca, Bivalvia, Venerida, Veneridae. The record is from RefSeq and is a predicted model, not a curated record.
AAUGACAUAGGGUUCCUGUUCUUAACUGCAUUGUGUCCUUGACAUUGUGGGAAACUUAGCAUUGUUGAUAAAUAGUGUAGUGUGUUGUUUUGAAUUAACCUUCAAUAGGUUAACAUUUGUAAACAUUCUCGGAUAUACUUGUGUUUUAGUUAUACGUACAUUUACCUGGAAAUACUGCAGCUGUAUGAUCUCGAUAUGCCCAUUCAGUUACUUCUCCUGUUAUCGUUCUAAUUUCUAACAGAAGCUUAUUAAGUUAUUUUCUACUAAGAUUUACAGAUCAUUAAAAUAGUUAUUGAACGUUGGAGCAUUAUAGUGUUUUCAGGGAAUUUUAAUAAAAUGAAAUGUUUAUCACGAUUUGAAAGAUAAUAUCGUACAUAAACAUUUAUGUUUUACAUUUAAAAUACAAUAUUAAUAAUGAAAUAUCUAUAAUGAAAAACAAAAACAUGAAAUUCCUUUGAAAAAAUGAUUUUUUUUCUGAUAAACGAUGCCUGCACUAAAUUGUGUAUUGCACAGCAUCAUGACAAUUAAUCAUGUUUCGUGAAAAUAUAUUCCAUGUUUCACUCAGACGAAAAGGAAAUCCUCAUAACAUUUUAAUAAAUAAAACUUAUUGCACACAAAUCUGCAUCGUUAAUCAAUAAUCACAAGCAAGUUAGAAUGUUCUGAAAAAAUGAAAACUGUAAAGUAUUUUAGAAUAUUUGCGUGUAUCAUUAGAAAAACGAAUGGUCCUUAGCACCCGAUAUUUUAUUUGUUUAGACUAAAAUCAUAAUUACACUAUGUAGUGUGUAUCAGCAUCAAUGAUGCAUCUAGAAUGUAGCAUUUACAUUUUAACGUUUACUUUAAAUCCAUUGCCAAUUGUGAUUGACCGAUAAAUUGAGAAUUUCUGCUUUACUUGCUAUUCAAGAUUUAUUCACGUUUCAAUAGUGCCAUUUGAGACAUAUUUUACAUUAAAUAGAGCUUUUCGUUUUUAUUUCCACGCUAGUUAUGUUAUUCAAGGUUCAUCCGCCUACAAAUUAUGCUUUUACAAAAUUUAUCUAAUAACAAAAGUGAACAAUCUAUUAUUGAUACAAUCACUACUUAAGCGCUUUAUCAAGCAAGUUAUAUAAUCAAUGAAUAACGAUAGAAGGUCUAGGAAUAUGCACCAUCUUUCAUUCCUUUUUUAUGAAGUUAAUAUUAGAGAUAAUUGACAAGAUUACUAUCUAUUCAUUAUUUCUCCUAAUGAAAUGGUUUAUAGUCGUCACAGACAUGUCAGAGCUGUCCAUGUAGUGUAAUAAAAAGUCUGAGUGUAAAUGUUCUUGCAAAUAUUCUGCUCGGAAACUAACAGAUUUAUUGCAGGCCAACUGACUGGCUGUUAUUACAUUUUACUAUGAUUCUUUCAUAGAAUAAUUAUGAUGUUUAAAGUUACAAUUUCUUCACAUUAAAUAUUAAUUUUCAAAGAUUCGCGGCAUGAAUUUAGGAUUUUGAUUUUAAACGACACUUUCUCAACCUAACGAAUUCAAGAUUCAACUUACAUAUUUACGAUAUUCACUUCAUGACCAUAUCUUCAGGAAUCUAUGUUUUUGAACUUCACGAUUUCAUCUUCGUGAAACCACGUUUGCACCGCCUCCGUGAUCGAGGGGUUAGAGUCGAUGACUUCUAAUCCAGUUACCUCUCUGGCGUGGGUUCGAUCCUCGGGAUAUGCUUUGGUAGUUUAGCACGGAGAAAGGUAGUCUAGUACUGGUGUAACUCUCUAGGAGCGAUGGUUAGGAAACUACCCACCUAAAUGACUAAAAUACUGUUACGCAUUCAUGAUCGUAAAUUCCUGAAAUUGAAAUUCAGAACCCCUGAAAUGGAAAUCGUCAAAAACCUGUAUUAGUGGAGAUAAAAUCGUAAAUUCCUGAAAAUGAAAUUGUGAAAGUGUAAAUUCGUGAAAUUGAAAUUUAUAAUCGUAAAUUUAUAAAGUCGUGAAUUCGUAAAGUUGAAACGAUGAAUUUGUGAAAUUAAAAUGUCACCAGAGGCCCUUCGUAAUAUUAUUACUCAGAAAACUUCAUUGGCUAAAUUAGAAUCGUUCAGUUGAUUAGACAGGAAUUCUUGUAUAGAUAUAAAACGAUGUUUGACAAAGAUUAAUUUGUACUUUAUUUAUAAAGAAAUAAUUAAUCUGGUUGCAAGGCAAACUACAUGAACUAAAUUUAGAUCUUUUUGUUCAUUGUCUGCAUGUUCUUUAUGAAGUUGUUGAAAGAAAACUAAUUUAGCCUUGCAAAAUUAUUAUUAUUUCACCUAUCUUUGAUUGUUCUAUAACAUCUUAGACUAUGCAGCACACGAUGUUACAGUAACCAGCAUAAUUUUUCACAUUUGGUAAAAUAAUUAUGAAUACAAAAUUAAAGCAGGACGACUAGCUUUCCCAAAGUUUUUGGUUUUACUCAAGUGCCUGAUAUAAUGCAUGAAGGGUUUAACCUUUGGUCUAACUCAACCAGUACAAAUUGAAAGUCGCCAUAUGACAUUUUAUAGUGUCAGUGAGUAAACAACUAAAUAAAACGAGCAGACAAAGUAAAUUGAAACAUUAAUUUUGCCUGAUGUUUAACGAUCUAUUUCUUGUUACUGGAUCAAUGCAUUAUGCAAACCAAAAUUGCAUUACAUUUGCAUUUGUGAUGCCAGUGCAUUGAUGUUUGACUGAAUAAAGAAUUUAUUUUAAUAUUUAUUGACGUUACAAUUACAAAAUAGCUUUGAUCAAGUGGAAACUGAAACCGCUACGUAGUAAUUGAUAUUAACAUUUUGUACUGAUAUCUUUUCAGCUAAACUGAAGACACGGAGAGGACUUCCAUAUUGCCUGUAGAUGUAUGUUUUGCCUGUUGUUCAGUAAUGGAGUAAACAAUUUCAGCAGAUGUAGGAGUUUUACAUAGAUUCCGAUACAAUUUGGGCAAGGAUGAUCCAACAGUUUCAAACUAUGGCGCCGUCGUUGUUUGCAAUACUGCUGACGAUAACAAAUCUUUGCUCAAAAUUGCAAAACAUUCGAGCAGUGGAUACGAUAAAUCCCCUUUACAUAAUUGACACGCAUAUAAAUGGGCCACUCACCACCGACAACAAAAUCAGAUUGGAACCUUUAGACAAUAAUGCUAUCUUUGAAAUUCCCGUGAACAUGCUUGAAAUAUUCUGGCUAAAUAGUUCAAUUCAUUCUAUUUCAAUUAAAUGGGCACUAGAUCCUAAUUAUAACCGUACUGGGUUCGUAAAAUACUCGGUGGUAGAAUAUUUCCCAAAAGGUGGACGAUUUACGUCACAUCCUUUAUCAAGUGACGUCAGAGAGUAUACAUUUGAUAAUUUAGAGGCUGGAACAAUGUAUACUCUUUGUGUUCAUAUGUUAGAGAUAUACGGUGAAGGAAAUUAUAGCUCGAUUAAUCAUUCAAAAUGUGUUAAAAUCAACACCAUAGAUUAUAUACGCAGAGAUAGUGUGGUGAUAAUGAUAAUUACUUUAGGAUACUAUGCAUUUAUGGGACUUAUAGGGUAUAUGCAAUGGAAACGUCGGCUGAUGAGGAUAAGAAAUAAUACAAAAAACAGAUAUAGCGAACCUCCGGAGGAAAGAAAUGAAAAAUCAGAAUAUUUGUGUAAUGCGAUGGCGUGAUUUAGCGAAAAAAAGAACGCCUUAUGUCAAAUCCCGGACGUUCUAUAGAAGGAGAUACAACAUAGGUGCUGUCGAGUUUAGGAAUGUUUACGUCUCGUAGGACAAGAAUUGUAAUACACAUGUACAUGUAUUUGUGUUUUUCAAACGAGUUUCCAAGAUCUCUCUGUUCUGAAAGACAGUCAAUGUUAACAUUGCAUACCUACGUCAUAUGUGAAAAAUUGAUUUGCACAGCAUAUUUUUCUUUUGUAACAAAAGGCAUUAUUGGCAAGUUAAAUCUUUAGCAUAAAAUCAAAAGUGAUGCAAGGCUUAUUUUCAAAGGGAUUACUACAUGCAGAUGUAACAUGCAGAAACCGUUAGGUCAACAAGGUCAAGGUUGUUUAGAAAAUGACAGUAAAUAGUACCAGGAAACCUUAAAAAUCAGUGUCUAGUUUGCCUUUCGUUAUGAUGAAUCCAGUUGCUCUUCUCUGAAAACAUCAUAACAUUUCAUAUGUGUUCCAAUGUUUUCAGUUUAACACCCUAUUCUUCUUUGCUUUUCAAAAUUGAAGUGCCCCUUGUGGUUGAUGGGUUGCUUAAUAGGAUUUGCUCGUUUAUCCCUACGUAAUUUUAAGAGGUGACUAAAUGGGUUCGAAAAAUGAAGUCUAUACAUCUCUAAGCUACGGCAGGUAUGGUGGUUUUGAACCUGGUGUUGCUUUAAGUUUGUAAAAAAACCUGAGGAUCAAGAUCAUUUUUUCUUGAUUCUAACAUAUGACAUCAAACCAAACAAACAAAACAACAACAUGAAAAAUGACGCACUCCAAUUUAAUGGAUAGUCCAGUCACUCAUUUCUCAUAACAGUUAAAAAUAAACACAAUACCGUACUUCUGCCUUAGUGGAAAGUUUGCAUUAUUCAGGGCUUUACAAUUGUACUACAUGUAUAUUAACGUAAUAAAUGUAAAAGUAAUUGUUUACGGUAUGCUAAUUUGCUUAAAAUUUAGCAUUAGAAAGGCGGUGCAUUAGAUUUGUUAAGUGUUAGUGCUUAAAAGUUACUGUUAAAGUGGACUUUAAAAUCAUUGCUCUUUGUAAUCUGUUAUUCUCAUUGGUAAAUGAAAGGUAUCAUAUGUUUGUAUUUGUAUAUUUUGCUAACUUGUUUCAAUGUAAAACAUUGUGUUCUCUAGUAUUAUAAAUUACGAAAUUAUUAAGAAAUAAAAUUGAUCAUAUU